Molecule: transfer RNA, 74 nt
Filed under: Ipomoea nil (Japanese morning glory)
Lineage: Eukaryota; Viridiplantae; Streptophyta; Magnoliopsida; Solanales; Convolvulaceae
Rfam family: tRNA
About the family: Transfer RNA (tRNA) molecules are approximately 80 nucleotides in length. Their secondary structure includes four short double-helical elements and three loops (D, anti-codon, and T loops).
Source: Rfam by way of RNAcentral
GGUCUUGUAGCUCAGUUGGUUAGAGCGUUGGUCUUAUGAGCCAAAAGUUGUGGGUUCGAGCCCUGUUAGAACCA